This 72-nucleotide transfer RNA is filed under the name Bos taurus (domestic cattle). It matches the Rfam family "tRNA". From Rfam's summary of the family: Transfer RNA (tRNA) molecules are approximately 80 nucleotides in length. Their secondary structure includes four short double-helical elements and three loops (D, anti-codon, and T loops). Further hydrogen bonds mediate the characteristic L-shaped molecular structure. tRNAs have two regions of fundamental functional importance: the anti-codon, which is responsible for specific mRNA codon recognition, and the 3' end, to which the tRNAs corresponding amino acid is attached (by aminoacyl-tRNA synthetases). tRNAs cope with the degeneracy of the genetic code in two manners: having more than one tRNA (with a specific anti-codon) for a particular amino acid; and 'wobble' base-pairing, i.e. permitting non-standard base-pairing at the 3rd anti-codon position. RNAcentral also lists the same sequence under 5 other names. Lineage: Eukaryota; Metazoa; Chordata; Mammalia; Artiodactyla; Bovidae. The record is from Rfam by way of RNAcentral.
UUGCUGGUGGUCCAGUGGUUAGGACUUGGCACUUUCAUUGCUGUGGCCUGGGUUCAAUCCCUGAUCGGGGAA